GGGUAUUGUUCAGUGGUAGAGUGCCUGCUUAACAUGCAAGAGGUCCUGGGUUCAAUUCCCAGUAUCUACA
RNAcentral lists this transfer RNA (70 nucleotides) under Camelus bactrianus (Bactrian camel). It matches the Rfam family "tRNA". From Rfam's summary of the family: Transfer RNA (tRNA) molecules are approximately 80 nucleotides in length. The record is from Rfam by way of RNAcentral. Lineage: Eukaryota; Metazoa; Chordata; Mammalia; Artiodactyla; Camelidae. RNAcentral also lists the same sequence under 2 other names.